CCUACGGGUGGCUGCAGUGAGGAAUAUUGGUCAAUGGGCGCGAGCCUGAACCAGCGAAGCAGCGUGAAGGAUGACUCCCCUACGGGUUGUAAACUUUUUUUAUAAAGGAAUAAAGUGAGGCACGUGUGCCUUUUUGUAUGUACUUUAUGAAUAAGGCUCGGCUAACUCCGUGCCAGCAGCCGCGGUAAUACGGAGGAUCCGAGCGUUAUCCGGAUUUAUUGGGUGUAAAGGGAGAGUAGAUGGGUUGUUAAGUCAGUUGUGAAAGUUUGCGGCUCAACCGUAAAAUUGCAAUUGAUACUGGCAGCCUUGAGUACAGUGGAGGUAGGCGGAAUUCUGGGUGUAGCGGUGAAAUGCUUAGAUAUCACGAAGAACUCCGAUUGCGAAGGCAGCCUACGAAACUGCCACUGACAUUGAUGCUCGAAAGUGUGGGUAUCAAACAGGAUUAGAUACCCGGUAGUC
Molecule: ribosomal RNA, 459 nt
Filed under: uncultured bacterium
Lineage: Bacteria
Description: partial 16S ribosomal RNA
Rfam family: Bacterial small subunit ribosomal RNA
Source: RNAcentral